This 149-nucleotide ribosomal RNA is filed under the name Schizochytrium aggregatum. RNAcentral describes it as "partial Eukaryotic large subunit ribosomal RNA". The record is from RNAcentral. Lineage: Eukaryota; Bigyra; Thraustochytrida; Thraustochytriidae.
GGCUGCCCUUGAGUUUGGCCAUCGGACGGUCAACGCCGUGUCCAGGUUGCAGACCUUGGGUCGCACUCACUGUCACGGCCAAGCUGGCGGCCACGCCCGCCUCCAUCUUGGCAAGUGGCGCAAGAACGGUGCAAACGCCCUGACCGUCG